RNAcentral lists this ribosomal RNA (229 nucleotides) under uncultured Actinomycetales bacterium. RNAcentral describes it as "partial 16S ribosomal RNA". It matches the Rfam family "Bacterial small subunit ribosomal RNA", at positions 105 to 334 of the family's 1533-position model. Lineage: Bacteria; Bacillati; Actinomycetota; Actinomycetes; Actinomycetales. The record is from RNAcentral.
CGGUGAGUAACACGUGAGUAACCUGCCCUUGACUUUGGGAUAACUUCAGGAAACUGGGGCUAAUACCGGAUAGGAGCUCCUGCUGCAUGGUGGGGGUUGGAAAGUUUCGGCGGUUGGGGAUGGACUCGCGGCUUAUCAGCUUGUUGGUGGGGUAGUGGCUUACCAAGGCUUUGACGGGUAGCCGGCCUGAGAGGGUGACCGACCACAUUGGGACUGAGAUACGGCCCAG